This 578-nucleotide unclassified non-coding RNA is filed under the name Hevea brasiliensis (rubber tree). Lineage: Eukaryota; Viridiplantae; Streptophyta; Magnoliopsida; Malpighiales; Euphorbiaceae. The record is from RNAcentral.
UGCUAGUAGCUCAUCUUCAUCCCCUGGAAGCAAGAACCCAACUGGACUUGACUCAACCUCUUCUAAUGGAUCUUUAAUUUUAUCUUCCAAUUGAAGCUUGCUUAAGCUAGGUGAGCUAUCGUCAAUGGAUUGACCAUAGUGCUCAGACUCAUUGAAGUUUAAUUUUGCAUGUGGUAGCACAGGCAAUGAGCUAGAGAACAAGCUUGUAUCAGUUGAUGCAUGAUAUACAGUGGAUCCAAGGGGAAUGGCCCAAGCAUUCUUCUCUUUGUAAGGAGCCUUUGUUGAAGCAGCUUCAGAGUCGUUUGACAUAGGUUUCUUUAAAGGCUUCUCCAUUUAGUCAGUUCCUGCAAACACGACUCAUGAAACGGUUGCAAUUGGACCAAAAUCAGGAUGAUCGCACACUCCCAACACAAAGCUAAUACCAAAAUAGAGUCCCCAAUAGAUGAUUUAGCAGCAAAGAAGAAAAUUAAACAGUUUUCGUAAAAACAGAGGAAUUGCUUGCUUCUACACUUUCACUUCCUUUUCUCCCGCCGUGACACCAGUGAAGAACUUCUAGAGAGAGAAACCCAGAAACCAAA